RNAcentral lists this ribosomal RNA (472 nucleotides) under uncultured Pseudomonadota bacterium. RNAcentral describes it as "bacterial SSU rRNA". It matches the Rfam family "Bacterial small subunit ribosomal RNA", at positions 355 to 819 of the family's 1533-position model. Lineage: Bacteria; Pseudomonadati; Pseudomonadota. The record is from RNAcentral.
UGGGGAAUUUUGGACAAUGGGCGCAAGCCUGAUCCAGCCAUGCCGCGUGCGGGAAGAAGGCCUUCGGGUUGUAAACCGCUUUUGUCAGGGAAGAAAAGGUUCUGGCUAAUACCUGGGACUCAUGACGGUACCUGAAGAAUAAGCACCGGCUAACUACGUGCCAGCAGCCGCGGUAAUACGUAGGGUGCAAGCGUUAAUCGGAAUUACUGGGCGUAAAGCGUGCGCAGGCGGUUAUGCAAGACAGAGGUGAAAUCCCCGGGCUCAACCUGGGAACUGCCUUUGUGACUGCAUGGCUAGAGUACGGUAGAGGGGGAUGGAAUUCCGCGUGUAGCAGUGAAAUGCGUAGAUAUGCGGAGGAACACCGAUGGCGAAGGCAAUCCCCUGGACCUGUACUGACGCUCAUGCACGAAAGCGUGGGGAGCAAACAGGAUUAGAUACCCUGGUAGUCCACGCCCUAAACGAUGUCAACUGG